This 572-nucleotide long non-coding RNA is filed under the name Mus musculus (house mouse). RNAcentral's name for it is "long non-coding RNA chr6:113146022-113146594". The record is from RNAcentral. Lineage: Eukaryota; Metazoa; Chordata; Mammalia; Rodentia; Muridae.
UUUGUUUCAGAAAUAUUUCUAAAAUAUUUGGGCACUUGUGAUUUUUGUACUAAAUGUUAACAGUAAAAAAAGCUAAGGACUGGAUGACUGGAGAGAUGGCUCUGCAUGAAAAAGCACUUACAGCUCUGUCAGAGGACCUAACACCUAUAUGCAGCAGUCACAAACACCAAUAACUCCAGCUCUAAGGCAGCCCACAUCCCCUUCUUCCCUCUGAAAGCACAUACAUAUGGGUAAAUAAAAUAUUUUUUAGGGCUAAACACAUUGCCAAGCCUGGCAAAUCUGAGUUUGAUCCUAAAGACACACGGUAAGAGGAAAACACCACUUCCCCAGGUUCUCCUUUGACCUACAUACAAUAGUUAAUAAGUGGGGUUUUGUUUUGUUUUUUAAUUAAAUUUUGAUUAAAGCUAACUUUAAUUUUAUUAAAGCUAAAGCAUAUAUGUGAUACCAUAUACCUGUGAUAUCAGGACCUGGGUGACUGAGGUAGGAAGAUCCUAAGUCCAAUGCCUGCCUGAGCUACAAAGAUCCUGUCUCACAAAAAUGAAUGAGUGAAUGAUAUAAUUUACAGAUUAACC